Long non-coding RNA from Myxocyprinus asiaticus (Chinese sucker), 433 nucleotides. RefSeq lists it as uncharacterized. The record is from RefSeq and is a predicted model, not a curated record. NCBI's taxonomy places the organism in Eukaryota, Metazoa, Chordata, Actinopteri, Cypriniformes, Catostomidae. The transcript is spliced from 3 exons.
UCUUAUUUCCACCCUAAUUAAUGCAAAUUUAGUCAUGUUUAAAAAGUAAAUGUCUUGUUUAAUAUUUAAAAUGUGAUGUUCUCCGAUCUGCAGAGGUGGAGGAGAGUUUUGCAGAGUUAAAAAAAAUCUACAAGCUUCGAGAUCACCAUCAUUUGAUGACCAGAGGAACCAGACAGAACCGAGCACUACAGAAGAUCAAACAAGUACAUGAAAUCUGAGAUCAUCCGUCGAUGAAAAGGAUGGGAAAAGGUGAAGUCGGGUGUUCAAAGAUUUUAAACAACUGGCUAUAAUUUUACACAGAAAAGCAUCUUCACAAGGUCCUUUGCUGUUGUUCUGGGAUUGAUUUGCACUUUUCACACCAAACUACGUUCAUCUCUAGGAGACUGCAGAUGGCUGCGUGGUCCCAUGGUGUAAAGACAAUUUUUAUUUUUGG